Molecule: long non-coding RNA, 841 nt
Organism: Scatophagus argus
Lineage: Eukaryota; Metazoa; Chordata; Actinopteri; Scatophagidae
Exons: 4
Source: RefSeq, a predicted model, not a curated record
UUUGUGUGGAUUUCGGUAGUACCUUGACGGAUAAGCGGUAUAGAAAAUGGAUGGAUGGAUUUCGGUAGUAAGCAAAUGCAAACUGAAUAUGAGCUAAUUUGUUUCUAAAACUAAAGCUGUAAAGCAAAAGGCUUUAUCACAAGUGAAACAUUUCUUGUGUUUGAAGGAUAUUAGCUGUAACGGGCAGGUAGAGGAUGUCUGUUUCAGUGUGGAUGAUAAUAUCCUGGGAGAUGUACUUCUUUGGCUCUACCUCUCCUGCUUGGACUGCACCCAUGGCAAACAGCUGAACCUGCAGCUCAGCAUGCAACCCUGCAGCCACCUGAACAGACACACAGUGUCAACACCCACAUUCUUCAUCCUCACAGUAAUGGCUGAGGACGUGCCCUCCUGCAGUGUACCAAAGUUAACACUGGAUGGGAGGAGCUGGAACCCCCUCGCUAUGACACUGGGAUCGGUCAGAGAAAUGGUUCGACACUUCCGUCUCACUGGCUCUUCCACUGAUAGGAACUGGAACAGGGGACACAGGCAGAGUGAUGUGUGAAUACAUCUGAGAUCAGUACUCCCGCUCCUGGUGCACUGCCAUUUAGUCUUCACUGAGAGACAGGAAGGCCUCAGGACUGUCUGACUUGGUGAUCAGAGGGAGAUCCAUGGAUAGACUCCUCAGGUCUGGUGUUUGGUACUGGAGCAGAUUCUGGAAGACAACCGACAGCGCUGCAUCUCUCGCUGUACACUGAGUAUUUUUUGUAAAUUCAGAAAUGGUGAUUCACUGUGUGUUUAGACUGAAGGGUUUAAUCAUAAUAAUGCUGAUAUCUCUCUUAAAUUAAAGUGAACAUAUACAGUA